Molecule: long non-coding RNA, 554 nt
Organism: Astyanax mexicanus (Mexican tetra)
Lineage: Eukaryota; Metazoa; Chordata; Actinopteri; Characiformes; Acestrorhamphidae
Exons: 3
Source: RefSeq, a predicted model, not a curated record
GGACCAGAUCAGCAAUAGAAGCCUUUAUAAAGGCUCGCAUAGAGAAGGAGAGGCUCUUCACUGGGGAGAAAAACUCUGCUCUCUCAGCUUGGAAGACUAUUCUUCUGGAAUUGGGGCUUGCGGACAAAGUUACGCCCCAACAAGCCAGAAAAAAAUGGGACAAAGAGCUGAAGUGUCCGCCUUCAGGGAGUGGGACAGACAAUGGGGAAGCCACUGCAGCUACUUGGCCCUGGUUCAGCCUCAUGGAUGAGGCUCUUGGCAAUCGACCAUCAGUCACACCACCUUUGCUAAUAGCCUCAUCUAAUGAGGAGGAACCAGGGCCAUCUUCUGUUGUGGCAUCCCCGUUGUCCGAGCAGAGAGGAAGGAAGCGGCAGGAAACUCUUCUUGACCUCCUGCGAGAGGACAUGGAGAGAGAGAGGGAGAGAGAAGAGAGGCAAGAGAGAGCAGAGCAGGAGCGGUCAGACCACUUGUAUAACCUCUUAGAAAAGCUUGUUAACAAAAUUAACUAAUAUUUAUUCAUGCAUAUUCAAAAAUUAAAGUUGCUGUUUUAAGAA